UGGGCCCCGUGCGAUGUGCCGGUGUGAACCCUGUCAGGUCCGAGAGGAAGCAGCAGUAAGCAUUUUGGCGCGUGUGCUGCGGUA
Molecule: signal recognition particle RNA, 84 nt
Filed under: bovine gut metagenome
Description: Bacterial small signal recognition particle RNA
Rfam family: Bacterial small signal recognition particle RNA
About the family: The signal recognition particle (SRP) is a universally conserved ribonucleoprotein involved in the co-translational targeting of proteins to membranes. Archaeal SRP consists of a 7S RNA and homologues of the eukaryotic SRP19 and SRP54 proteins.
Source: RNAcentral